RNAcentral lists this ribosomal RNA (464 nucleotides) under uncultured bacterium. RNAcentral describes it as "SSU rRNA". It matches the Rfam family "Bacterial small subunit ribosomal RNA", at positions 26 to 518 of the family's 1533-position model. The record is from RNAcentral.
AGAACGAACGCUGGCGGCAUGCCUAACACAUGCAAGUCGAACGCUUUUGGGGCUUCGGUCCCAAAGGAGUGGCGCACGGGUGAGUAGCGCGUGGGAACCUGCCCUGUUGUGGGGGGAUAACCGAGGGAAACUUCGGCUAAUACCGCAUACGCCCGGGGGAAACUCCGGGGAAAGAUUUAUCGCAGCAGGAGGGGCCCGCGUCGGAUUAGGUAGUUGGUGGGGUAACGGCCCACCAAGCCUGUGAUCCGUAGCUGGUCUGAGAGGAUGAUCAGCCACACUGGGACUGAGACACGGCCCAGACUCCUACGGGAGGCAGCAGUGGGAAUAUUGGACAAUGGGCGCAAGCCUGAUCCAGCAAUGCCGCGUGAGUGAUGAAGGCCUUCGGGUUGUAAAGCUCUUUCGCACGCGACGAUGAUGACGGUAGCGUGAGAAGAAGCCCCGGCUAACUUCGUGCCAGCAGCCGC